This 405-nucleotide ribosomal RNA is filed under the name uncultured bacterium. RNAcentral describes it as "bacterial SSU rRNA". It matches the Rfam family "Bacterial small subunit ribosomal RNA", at positions 29 to 432 of the family's 1533-position model. The record is from RNAcentral.
AGCGAACGUUUGCGGCGGGCCUAACACAUGCAAGUCGAACGGGCAGGGGUAACUCCUGUCAGUGGCGCACGGGUGCGUAACACGUGGGUAAUCAACCCUUUGGACUGGGGACAACCCGGGGAAACUCGGGCUAAUACCGGAUGUGGCAUGUCGGUCUUCGGGCUGACAUGCGAAAGCCUCGCAAGGGGCACCAGAGGACGAGCCCGCGGCCCAUCAGCUAGUUGGUGAGGUAAUGGCUCACCAAGGCGAAGACGGGUAGCUGGUCUGAGAGGACGAUCAGCCACACUGGCACUGCGACACGGGCCAGACUCCUACGGGAGGCAGCAGUAAGGAAUAUUGCGCAAUGGGACGAAAGCCUGACGCAGCGACGCCGCGUGGGGAUGAAGGUCUUCGGAUUGUAAACCC